This 46-nucleotide non-coding RNA is filed under the name Schistosoma margrebowiei. Lineage: Eukaryota; Metazoa; Platyhelminthes; Trematoda; Strigeidida; Schistosomatidae. The record is from RNAcentral.
CCACUGCUGACGAGUCCCACAAUAGGACGAAACGGCCGUCCAGUGC